Molecule: ribosomal RNA, 547 nt
Filed under: bacterium MC202
Lineage: Bacteria
Description: bacterial SSU rRNA
Rfam family: Bacterial small subunit ribosomal RNA
Source: RNAcentral
AAGUCUGACGGAGCACGCCGCGUGAGUGAUGAAGGUUUUCGGAUCGUAAAGCUCUGUUGUUAGGGAAGAACAAGUGCGAGAGUAACUGCUCGCACCUUGACGGUACCUAACCAGAAAGCCACGGCUAACUACGUGCCAGCAGCCGCGGUAAUACGUAGGUGGCAAGCGUUGUCCGGAAUUAUUGGGCGUAAAGGGCUCGCAGGCGGUUUCUUAAGUCUGAUGUGAAAGCCCCCGGCUCAACCGGGGAGGGUCAUUGGAAACUGGGAAACUUGAGUGCAGAAGAGGAGAGNGGAAUUCCACGUGUAGCGGUGAAAUGCGUAGAGAUGUGGAGGAACACCAGUGGCGAAGGCGACUCUCUGGUCUGUAACUGACGCUGAGGAGCGAAAGCGUGGGGAGCGAACAGGAUUAGAUACCCUGGUAGUCCACGCCGUAAACGAUGAGUGCUAAGUGUUAGGGGGUUUCCGCCCCUUAGUGCUGCAGCUAACGCAUUAAGCACUCCGCCUGGGGAGUACGGUCGCAAGACUGAAACUCAAAGGAAUUGACGGGG